CCUACGGGCGGCAGCAGUGAGGAAUAUUGGUCAAUGGACGCAAGUCUGAACCAGCCAUGCCGCGUGCAGGAAGACGGCUCUAUGAGUUGUAAACUGCUUUUGUACGAGGGUAAACGCAGAUACGCGUAUCUGUCUGUAAGUAUUGUACGAAUAAGGAUCGGCUAACUCCGUGCCAGCAGCCGCGGUAAUACGGAGGAUUCAAGCGUUAUCCGGAUUUAUUGGGUUUAAAGGGAGCGUAGGCGGUCGGAUAAGUUAGAUGUGAAAUCCUGAGGCUCAACUUUGGAAUUGCCUCUGAUACUGGUCGGCUAGAGAGUAGUUGCGGUAGGCGGAAUGUAUGGUGUAGCGGUGAAAUGCUUAGAGAUCAUACAGAACACCGAUUGCGAAGGCAGCUUACUAAGCUACCUCUGACGUUGAUGCACGAAAGCGUGGGGAGCAAACAGGAUUAGAUACCCCAGUAGUC
RNAcentral lists this ribosomal RNA (460 nucleotides) under uncultured bacterium. Its description in RNAcentral is "partial 16S ribosomal RNA". It matches the Rfam family "Bacterial small subunit ribosomal RNA", at positions 338 to 795 of the family's 1533-position model. The record is from RNAcentral.